Molecule: ribosomal RNA, 253 nt
Filed under: uncultured prokaryote
Description: partial 16S ribosomal RNA
Rfam family: Bacterial small subunit ribosomal RNA
Source: RNAcentral
ACAGAGGGGGCAAGCGUUGUUCGGAAUUACUGGGCGUAAAGGGCGCGUAGGCGGCCUGCUAAGUCGAACGUGAAAUCCCCGGGCUCAACCCGGGAACUGCGUCCGAGACUGGCGGGCUCGAAUUCGGGAGAGGGAUGCGGAAUUCCAGGUGUAGCGGUGAAAUGCGUAGAUAUCUGGAGGAACACCUGUGGCGAAGGCGGCAUCCUGGACCGAUAUUGACGCUGAUGCGCGAAAGCCAGGGGAGCAAACGGGA